RNAcentral lists this ribosomal RNA (406 nucleotides) under uncultured bacterium. RNAcentral describes it as "partial 16S ribosomal RNA". It matches the Rfam family "Bacterial small subunit ribosomal RNA", at positions 30 to 526 of the family's 1533-position model. The record is from RNAcentral.
AUUGAACGCUGGCGGCAGGCCUAACACAUGCAAGUCGAGCGAGCGGCGGACGGUUGAGUAAUGCCUGGGAAUGUGCCUUACCGUGUGGGAUAACUAUUUGAAACGAUAGCUAAUCCCGCAUACGCCAAGAUUAUCCCAGGGGAGAUUAGCUAGUUGGUGAGGUAAGAGCUCACCAAGGCGACGAUCUCUAGCUGGUCUGAGAGGAUGAUCAGCCACACUGGGACUGAGACACGGGCCAGACUCACACGGGAGGCAGAAGGGGGGAAUAUUGCACAAUGGGCGAAAGCCUGAUGCAGCCAUGCCGCGUGGAUGAAGAAGGCCUUAGGGUUGUAAAGUACUUUCAGUAGGGAGGCGUUACCUACAGAAGAAGCACCGGCUAACUCCGUGCCAGCAGCCGCGGUAAUUC